AUCAGCCCUGAACACCACCAAUAGCAACAUGUGGGUGGAAGUUGGACAGCAGUAGCAGGAAGCUGUCAGAGCCUCGUUUAGAGCAGCAGCAUGAUGUUUACAGCUUCAGGGCUGAAUGUUGGAGUAAUUUUUAGAAAGCUAUUUAUUAUCUCUUUAUCUUCCCUGUUGAUUUUAUCUCGCACUGGUCUCGACGCAUUCUCAUUUAUUCACUAAACUGGAAAUAAAUUAAGAGUCUAGAUUUGAGGUGGUUCUGAUCCGAUAGAUGGGAUAUCAUUUUCAGUCCGAUACCAAGAGAAAAUGAUGGAUAGGUUUUGAGAAAAAAAAUUUUUUUAAGAUUUGAGGAUAUCAGAUGAUGAUACUCCAGGCUUCAGAAUCAUUUUCAGAGAAGAAAAAGUGGUUACAGACUUUCAAUUACAAGUAGAAAUGCUUUCUUGGGGACAAGUCCCUCAGGGGAGGAAGUUGGACAGCAGGAGCAGGAAGCUGUCGGAAUGUUCUUCAGAGCAGCAGUGUGGUGUUUCCAGCUUCGGGGCUUGAACACAGUUGAUGAGA
Molecule: long non-coding RNA, 549 nt
Organism: Silurus meridionalis
Lineage: Eukaryota; Metazoa; Chordata; Actinopteri; Siluriformes; Siluridae
Exons: 3
Source: RefSeq, a predicted model, not a curated record